CCAGGCGCUCCCAUCAAGUUCUUCCAGCCUGAAGCCAGCUGUGGACUGCAGCCUCUGAACACUGUGAGCCGGGAUACACCUGUCCUCCUCACAACUGUGUAGAGUGACCUGUAAACAACAGGAUGAAGGACUGAGGAGGAGGAAACCUGCUGGGAAGACUCACCUGGUGAAGAGCGGGGCUCCUGUCCUCAGUCUUUAAAGGACUCAUGUGGCAGCCAGCGCUGGGUAGAAUGGAACCUCUCUGAGGUCUAACAUUUCUACUAACUGCAAUUGUUCGCCUUGAAACUGAUAAAUCAUAUCUUAAAUGAUGCCAAAAAAUGAAAUUUUUUUUAAUCUGAGAUUAUACCAUUCACUUUAUCAACCACUCUGGAAUCACCGAUUUUGUUCAAGGAUGGAGAAAUAGCCUGAAGCCUGAAGUCGUUCAGAUUCAUUUUCAAAGCCUGACUGGGAGCCGCUUUGGUCAAUCAGAAAGCAACAGAAGUACAACAGACUUCUCAGGGGGUGGCAGGAGAUGGGUGGGAGGUCAGUCACCGAUCUCCAAAGCCACCUCCCCUACUCAGGAGGCACAGAUUCAAGCCCAGCAAAGGCAGAACUUUGCUUCUCUAGUGACUAUCUAACAUUAGUGCACAUUGGCUGUUCUCAAUGUUCGGUCCCCUGAGCAAGGACAAAAUGACUUAGAGAAGUCCCACUACCCCUAUGCCAAUAGUCAUGUGCCUUAAAAUGUUUUUUUUUUUUUACUCACUUCUUUACUGUAUAUACCAAGCAAGAUAAAGAAUGAGAUUCCAUGUAAUGAAUUACACAGUGUGCAAUGAAUACCACAUCAUUACUGGCUGUUAUAUUGAGUCUACCUUCAUUCUUUAAAAUGUCCUCAAUGAGCAAGAAGGUUUUAGAAUGGAGAAUGACCCCCAUCCAUUCUCACGUUAUAUAAAGAACACAACUAAGGGCAGGGCUAGGUUUGAAUUUGAGACAUUAUUCAAAGAUAAACCAAAGUCUGAACAUCAGGGAUCCAGAGGGGUAGUUGCUUCACAGUACAAUACAAGGGAAAGGGAAUUAAGAACCAUCUGCAUUUAGUAUCCUUUCAACUGCCAUCAUGCCACACAUUGCAAAAUGGCUCCAUGGCAAAUAUUCAGAAGAAGACAGCUGAAGCACUCCUUGGUAAGAUAUUGUCUUUUUGUAAUAUCCAUUUAAAGGGAGCUGCAAAAGUAAAGGCAGAUGUGUAAUAUAUGGUUGGCACCAUUUUUAUUUUCUUAUACAUCUUGCCACUGUCUGGGGGCAAUGCUCUAGUGACU
Molecule: long non-coding RNA, 1289 nt
Organism: Chinchilla lanigera (long-tailed chinchilla)
Lineage: Eukaryota; Metazoa; Chordata; Mammalia; Rodentia; Chinchillidae
Exons: 4
Source: RefSeq, a predicted model, not a curated record